Molecule: ribosomal RNA, 497 nt
Filed under: uncultured bacterium
Lineage: Bacteria
Description: partial 16S ribosomal RNA
Rfam family: Bacterial small subunit ribosomal RNA
Source: RNAcentral
GAUGAACGCUGGCGGCGUGCCUAAUACAUGCAAGUCGAGCGAACGGACGAGAAGCUUGCUUCUCUGAUGUUAGCGGCGGACGGGUGAGUAACACGUGGAUAACCUACCUAUAUGACUGGGAUAACUUCGGGAAACCGGAGCUAAUACCGGAUCAUAUUUUGAACCGCAUGGUUCAAAAGUGAUAGACGGUCUUGCUGUCACUUAUAGCUGAAGCCGCGCUGCAUUAGCUAGUUGGUAAGGUAACGGCUUACCAAGGCAACGUUGCAUAGCCGACCUGAGAGGGUAGUCGCCCACACUGGAACUGAGACAGGGUCCAGACUCCAACGGGAGGCAGCAGUGGGGAAUCUUCCGCAAUGGGCGAAAGCCUGACGGAGCAACGCCGCGGGGGUGAUGAAGGUCUUCGGAUCGUAAAACCCUGUUAUUGGGGAAGAACAGAUGUGUAAGUAACUGUGCACAUCUUGACGGUACCUAAUGAGAAAGCCACGGCUAACUACGUG